CUCUCUACCUCUCCUGACGACUCUCUCUCUCUCUCUCUCACGACUCACAGCUUCUGCCUACCCCCGACUCUCUCUCUCUCUCUCGCGCGAGCUGCCAUUAAUUUCAGGGCUUAGAUGAAGAUCUGAAACAGUUUUUCGAUAUGAAUUCUGCUAGAUUUCGUGACGGGCGGAGUGUUUUCUGCACUCGAUUAUGUAGUCGGAAUUUUCAGGUUCUUAUCUGAUGCUUCGAGGAUUUCAGGGAAGAGUUAUCAGUUUGAAUUCUACUGGUUUUUUCAUUUGGGACUUUGUGCUUUGGAUUUUGCCAUGGAAGGUGGCAGUGAUCUGGAAGGAAGUCAGUUUCUGAGGUUUCUCUUUUCUCCAUUUUCAUUUGUUUUUUCAUCUAACAAUGUUGAAUUGUGUAGAGAAAAAGGGUGUAUUUUCUGGUAACAAGGUAGGCUCGGUAGUGGGAGUGGUGCAGAAGACAGAACUGGCACUAUGUAAACUUCCAUUUUUCUGGUUUUUUUUUCCCACCCCAAAUUGCAAGAUAUGGAAGGGGCAGUCCGGAAUAUAUCUCACCAGAAAUAUGGUGAUAGAUUAUCAUGUUUGACUUGGGAACUGAGAAUUACCAGCACUCUUAAGACACAUUUCGCAGUUUGGGACUGGCCUAUCUUAUCACAAGAAGUUCUGCAAUUUAAAAGACUGUAACAGUAGAUAUCUUUGCAGUCUUAGAGUGUAAUAUCCCAUCUCAAUGCUGCUAACAAAAAAAUCUAUGCCUCAGUCUAGGUAUGAAUACUGGCUCCCCCAUGGU
Molecule: long non-coding RNA, 787 nt
Organism: Magnolia sinica
Lineage: Eukaryota; Viridiplantae; Streptophyta; Magnoliopsida; Magnoliales; Magnoliaceae
Exons: 3
Source: RefSeq, a predicted model, not a curated record